CUUUUUUCAUUUUUUUCUUCACUUUUCUCCAGCCUUCCUCUCUCUCUCUCCUUCCUUCCUCCUUGCUUUCUUUAUAUGCCUUAUCUUCUGAGAAGGUUGACCCCAGUUCCGGCGAUAGACGGACACUAAGCCCCCCUUGAGUGACUAGAAAGGCAGGGGACAUAGGAACAGUUAGGACAUAAGGGAAGAGUAAAGAGAGGGACCCCUGAUUUUGAUUUCAGGGUGCCCUGUUUGUCUCAUCCAAUAUCCUGAAGACCCAAGAUGGAGACCAGCUACUUGUCCCUUCCAAAAAGCUUCCCUGGCCUUAAUGUCAGUGCUUGUAGGUGAUCUCAGAAACCUCCCUGGUGAAGAAAACCUGAAGACGGGGUCUUGCUCUGUUGCCUGGCUGGAGUGCAGUGGUGCUAACAUGACUCACUGCACCCUUGACCUCCUGGACUCAAGUGAUCCUCCCACCUCAGCCUCCCAAGUAGCUGGGACUCCAAGUGGGUGCCACUACAGCCAAACCUUCAGACCUGUAGAUGGGCUCUUCUUGGACAUUCUGGAGUCCCUGGGGGAAAGGGAAGUCUGAAGCUCAGUUGGCCAC
This 583-nucleotide long non-coding RNA is filed under the name Homo sapiens (human). RNAcentral's name for it is "non-protein coding lnc-AMPD3-2:2". The record is from RNAcentral. Lineage: Eukaryota; Metazoa; Chordata; Mammalia; Primates; Hominidae.